RNAcentral lists this ribosomal RNA (395 nucleotides) under uncultured bacterium. RNAcentral's name for it is "bacterial SSU rRNA". It matches the Rfam family "Bacterial small subunit ribosomal RNA", at positions 30 to 427 of the family's 1533-position model. The record is from RNAcentral.
AUUGAACGCUGGCGGCAUGCCUUACACAUGCAAGUCGAACGGCAGCGGGCCUUCGGGUGCCGGCGAGUGGCGAACGGGUGAGUAAUGCAUCGGAACGUGCCAUUGAGUGGGGGAUAACGUAGCGAAAGUUGCGCUAAUACCGCAUAUUCUGUGAGCAGGAAAGCAGGGGGACCGCAAGGCCUUGCGCUCUUUGAGCGGCCGAUGUCAGAUUAGCUAGUUGGUGAGGUAAAGGCUUACCAAGGCGACGAUCUGUAGCGGGUCUGAGAGGAUGAUCCGCCACACUGGAACUGAGACACGGUCCAGACUCCUACGGGAGGCAGCAGUGGGGAAUUUUGGACAAUGGGGGGCAACCCUGAUCCAGCCAUGCCGCGUGAGUGAAGAAGGCCUCGGUUGUU